AUUGAACGCUGGCGGCAUGCCUUACACAUGCAAGUCGAACGGUAGAGUAGCAAUACUUGAGAGUGGCGAACGGGUGAGUAAUAUAUCGGAACGUGCCCAGUCGUGGGGGAUAACGUAGAGAAAUUUACGCUAAUACCGCAUACGAUCUAAGGAUGAAAGCGGGGGAUUCGCAAGAACCUCGCGCGAUUGGAGCGGCUGAUAUCAGAUUAGGUUGUUGGUGAGGUAAAAGACUCACCAAGCCGACGAUCUGUAGCUGGUUUGAGAGAACGACCAGCCACACUGGGACUGAGACACGGCCCAGACUCCUACGGGAGGCAGCAGUGGGGAAUUUUGGACAAUGGCGAAAGACCUGAUCCAGCAAUGCCGCGUGCA
Molecule: ribosomal RNA, 372 nt
Filed under: uncultured bacterium
Lineage: Bacteria
Description: bacterial SSU rRNA
Rfam family: Bacterial small subunit ribosomal RNA
Source: RNAcentral